This 266-nucleotide long non-coding RNA is filed under the name Vigna radiata. Its description in RNAcentral is "long non-coding RNA (VRAD_LNC014084)". The record is from RNAcentral. Lineage: Eukaryota; Viridiplantae; Streptophyta; Magnoliopsida; Fabales; Fabaceae.
UUCUAGCAGAGGUUGUUGGUUUUUCCUGCUUCUAGUAUGUAUUAUUUCCUGCAUACACAAGAAACACACCCUAAAAGCACUUUUAUAGAAAAUAAAACAAAACGCAAUAAAAGAAAAAUAAAACAAAAAUAAUUACAAUCAAGUCAAAGUCAAUCAAUUCACACUACUAGAAAAAUAAACCUCGAGUCCCCUGCAACGGCGCCAAAAACUUGUUGACAAAUUGGCAAGUGUACCAAAUCGUACAAGUAAUAUAAAUGGUAAGACCA